Molecule: ribosomal RNA, 276 nt
Filed under: uncultured bacterium
Lineage: Bacteria
Description: partial 16S ribosomal RNA
Rfam family: Bacterial small subunit ribosomal RNA
Source: RNAcentral
CAGCAGCCGCGGUAAUACGGAGGGUCCGAGCGUUAAUCGGAAUUACUGGGCGUAAAGCGCGCGUAGGCGGCUUGUUAAGUCAGAUGUGAAAGCCCUGGGCUCAACCUGGGAACUGCAUUUGAUACUGGCCAGCUAGAGUAUGGGAGAGGACAGUGGAAUUUCUAGUGUAGCGGUGAAAUGCGUAGAUAUUAGAAGGAACACCAGUGGCGAAGGCGACUGUCUGGCCCAAUACUGACGCUGAGGUGCGAAAGCGUGGGGAGCAAACAGGAUUAGAUA